RNAcentral lists this ribosomal RNA (696 nucleotides) under uncultured bacterium. Its description in RNAcentral is "bacterial SSU rRNA". It matches the Rfam family "Bacterial small subunit ribosomal RNA", at positions 32 to 715 of the family's 1533-position model. The record is from RNAcentral.
AACGCUAGCUACAGGCUUAACACAUGCAAGUCGAGGGGCAGCAUGGUCUUAGCUUGCUAAGGCUGAUGGCGACCGGCGCACGGGUGAGUAACACGUAUCCAACCUGCCGUCUACUCUUGGCCAGCCUUCUGAAAGGAAGAUUAAUCCAGGAUAGGAUCAUGAGUUCACAUGUCCGCAUGAUUAAAGGUAUUUUCCGGUAGACGAUGGGGAUGCGUUCCAUUAGAUAGUAGGCGGGGUAACGGCCCACCUAGUCAACGAUGGAUAGGGGUUCUGAGAGGAAGGUCCCCCACAUUGGAACUGAGACACGGUCCAAACUCCUACGGGAGGCAGCAGUGAGGAAUAUUGGUCAAUGGGCGAUGGCCUGAACCAGCCAAGUAGCGUGAAGGAUGACUGCCCUAUGGGUUGUAAACUUCUUUUAUAAAGGAAUAAAGUCGGGUAUGCAUACCCGUUUGCAUGUACUUUAUGAAUAAGGAUCGGCUAACUCCGUGCCAGCAGCCGCGGUAAUACGGAGGAUCCGAGCGUUAUCCGGAUUUAUUGGGUUUAAAGGGAGCGUAGAUGGAUGUUUAAGUCAGUUGUGAAAGUUUGCGGCUCAACCGUAAAAUUGCAGUUGAUACUGGAUGUCUUGAGUGCAGUUGAGGCAGGCGGAAUUCGUGGUGUAGCGGUGAAAUGCUUAGAUAUCACGAAGAACUCCGAUUG